This 468-nucleotide ribosomal RNA is filed under the name uncultured bacterium. Its description in RNAcentral is "partial 16S ribosomal RNA". It matches the Rfam family "Bacterial small subunit ribosomal RNA", at positions 28 to 507 of the family's 1533-position model. The record is from RNAcentral.
GACGAACGCUGGCGGCGUGCUUAACACAUGCAAGUCGAACGGAAGGGCCCUGCUUUUGUGGGGUGCUCGAGUGGCGAACGGGUGAGUAACACGUGAGUAACCUGCCCUUGACUUUGGGAUAACUUCAGGAAACUGGGGCUAAUACCGGAUAGGAGCUCCUGCUGCAUGGUGGGGGUUGGAAAGUUUCGGCGGUUGGGGAUGGACUCGCGGCUUAUCAGCUUGUUGGUGGGGUAGUGGCUUACCAAGGCUUUGACGGGUAGCCGGCCUGAGAGGGUGACCGGCCACAUUGGGACUGAGAUACGGCCCAGACUCCUACGGGAGGCAGCAGUGGGGAAUAUUGCACAAUGGGCGGAAGCCUGAUGCAGCAACGCCGCGUGCGGGAUGACGGCCUUCGGGGUGUAAACCGCUUUCGCCUGUGACGAAGCGUGAGUGACGGUAAUGGGUAAAGAAGCACCGGCUAACUACGUG